UGUCAAGACAUGCCCCUCGCGACUUACCAGUACCAAGCGCUCAAAGAGGCCCUCGCCGCUUCCAUCUCCACCGCCGGCGACGUGCGCCGCCCCCACGCCCUCGUCGUAGUGUCGGGUCUCGCCGGCAACGGCUACGUCGUCUCCCUCCUCGUAUCCCGCUACUUCCGCCUCGGCGCCGCCAAUGCCGCGCGCAGGGCGUUCGACGCUGUUCCCCUUCGCCGGGCAGCAUCGCUCCCCGUCUCGGCGCCGCCGCCUAAGCCCCUCCUCUACAACGCCAUGAUCCGCGGGUACCUCGCUCUCGGCCUCCCCCGCCUGGCGGUCGAUGUCUUCCGAGAGAUGGCGUGCCCGCCCGACCGCCACACGUACCACCUCGCCGUGACGGCGUGCGCUCGCGCGUCGGAGUUUGAGCUCGGUCGGCGUAUCGGGAGCGAAGCAUGCUCCAGAGGACUUUCAACCGACCUCCUGGUCGGGACGGCGCUGGUCGUAAUGCAUUCUGAAGCAGGUGACAUGGAGGCUGCUCUCACGGUGUUUGAUGAAAUGCCGCACCGCGAUGACGUGGUGUGGAAUGCCCUCAUUGCUGGCUAUGCCCGUGCGAAUUGCAUGGGAGAGGCUCUCAGGUUAUUCGUAAGGAUGAGGAUGGUGGAUGGAGUGUCUCCGACUGAGGCAACAUUGGUGAGCUUGGUUUCCGGGUUUGCAAGCUAUGGUUCUUGGAAGGUCUGCUAUAUGAUUCAUGCUGUUGUGAUUAGGUCUGGUUUCCACCUUAACGUCUGUGUUUGCAACGCUCUCCUGGAGCUUUAUCUUUACUCCGGCUGUUUGAGGGAGGCUGUCAUGUUGUUUCGUCAGAUGGAGGUGAAAGAUUCCAUCACUUGGAGUACGAUUAUUGGUGGGCUUGUUCGGAAUGGACGACCGAAUUCUGCUCUUAACCUUUUCCACUGGAUGCUGUCAAAUUCGACUGUGUCGGCCACUAGGUCCAUCUUGCUUAAUGUCAUUGCGGCCUGCGCUGAGCUGGGGGAGUGGGAACAAGGAAGAUGGAUUGAACAAAGCUAUGUGCUGGCUGAUUCUAGUGAAUUCAAUAGAGAUCCAUCUUUGGUAACUGCACUGAUAUAUAUGUAUGCAAGGUGUGGACAGUUAGAUUCUUCAAUUGCUCUUCUACAUGGAGUUGCAGCAAUGAGAGAUGACAUAGUUGCAUGGAAUGCCAUGAUCAAAGGCUGUGGAGUUCUCGGGCAUGUGGGAAAGGCAAUAGGAUUUGCAGUGGAAAUGCAGAGGGUAGGCAUUGAUCCAGAUGCUGUCACAUUCUUGGAGAUCCUACCUAUGAUUUCUUCGAUACCAUCACUGAAGAAGGGGAUGGAAGCACAUGGUCAGAUCGUUAAAAGAGGUUUCCAGAAUGAAAGGACAAUUGCUAAUUCACUCAUUACCAUGUAUGGUCGAUGUGGGGAUCUUAGACAUUCAUUUGACACCUUUAGUGGGAUUGUGGACAAGGAUGUAAUCUCUUGGACUUCUAUGAUUCAGGUAUACGCCUGGAAUGGACAUGCUGUUGAAGUUGUCGAGCUUUUUGAGCUGAUGAAGAAAACAGAAGUGAAACCGAACCGCUACACCUUUCUUGCUGUGCUGUCUGCAUGUAAGAACACAGGUCUUGUUGAAGAGGGAAUGGACUUGCUCAAGUUCAUGGAAGAGCAAUAUGGUCUUGAGCCGGAUGUUGAGCAUAUUUCAUGUGUUGUUGAUAUGCUCUGUCGUACUGGACGCUUGACUGAUGCAUAUGCAUAUGACCUGAUAAAAAGUACUAUUUCUGAACGUGUAGACAAUCAUAUAUUAUGGGGGAUAUUGCUAAGUGCUUCCCGUUCAUCUGGGGAUUUGGUGAUUGGAGAAGCAGCUGCCAGACAUCUCUUGUCUCUGGAUCCAGAAAAUCGAGCCAACUAUAAAAUGCUUGCUGAUAUUUAUGUCUCGCUUGGGAGAAGGGAUAGUGCUGAUAAUAUCCUUAGACUAUCAUUGUCAAGAGGGCUAGACUCGAAACCAGGCUGCAGCUGGACUGAAGGUGGCUAAAUGUUGCAAGUGCAUGCUAGAUGAAUCAGGAUGUGGAAACCCCUUUUCCUUUUUCUCGGACCAAGAACAACUUCUGUGGAGAUAUGCCCCACAAUCUAGCAAGGAUAGCCUCUCGUGGAUCAGAGCAAAGGAAGCUUACUGGGUGACAUGUACACAGAAACUCCGAGUGAAUCUUGCAUAAACUUCUGGGAUGGGAUCUUGCAAAGGUUCGUGCACAUACCGACACAGUUGGUGCUUUCCAGAAACCUGUCACCGAGUAAGAUAACAAAUUAAGUAAGAUAAGUACCACUUACGUCAAGAUUUGUUGGUAUGUCUGCACUCUGCACCUUAGUAAAUAUUUUCCUUAUGUUGGUGUUAAUUGGGAUAGUGUCUCAAACAUGGGUAGUACUGGUAUGUUGCAUUUGCCUCUUACUUUUCAUUUCUUCUUAUUUUCAGAAGGUAUUUUUCGCCUAUUCUCAUAGGCAGUUUGUGGAGUGUGAGUAGGAACAUCAGUCUGCCACAAUUGCGACAUGGACAGUACAAGUGGCAUGUCAGCCUUAGUACUUUCUUGCCUUUUCUUUCAAGUGGAUUUACUUAUAAGAUGGACAUACUGCAAUAAAUUCAUUCAAUCAAUGGGUGCAGAAUCAUGCACUGUUUAUUUCAAAAUAAGUUAAUUGUUUUUGCACCUAUGAAUGCUCAGAGCAACCGUUUGGACCAAUAUAUUUGGGACACCUUAUAUUCAACCUAGUUAAACUCAUUCCACAAUUUGUUUUCUUGCAUUUAGUUUCCUUAGCAUUAGCUACUCAGCGGAAAAGUUCCUCGGUUAUGAUUGAAUUACCUGCAUUUGGGGAUGUACACCACAUUCUUCUCUCUCGUUCCAUCGACUUCAGAUUCCCUGACCUUGUUCAAUGACAUAAUAAUGAUCACUCAGAAAACUUAUCCAAAGUGGGGAGUGUAUUCCAUGUGGGACUGCAUUAAAGAAAUAUUAAUAUAUGUACUAUAAAUGUCUUGUAUAUUGCUACAUCCAAGCCACAUCCUACCACUUUUGCAAUAUUUAUCAACUUGGCAUGUGGCUUUAUAUCGGUUCAUUUUGGGCAGGGCUCACCAGAAGCACUAGCAUGGAGUCUUUCUUUGAAUGAUGCCCUCCUUGAGGGCAGGCUACUUAUUUUAUGAAGUGAAAUAUUGCAUAUUUAUUGCAUGGAGCAAGAACAUGUCAAGGAGAGAAAAUCUGUUGAUAUAGUACCUCACAUGGUCCAACCAGCCAAGGGAAGAAUAUGGUGGUGAAGGCAGCAAAGUACUCCCUGGAAAAUCUUGAAGGCGGCAUCAUCACCUUUAUCUGCCCAAACAGAAUUCUGUCAAACCAAAAUCCAGGUAAAAAGUAGAGACAUUUGUACUGUUUCCCCUUCCUCCAUGCCCAAAAAGAAGGCCUUUAAAUUUGAAAGCAGAAGUUUGAAAUCCUAUAUAGUUGCUUUUUUACUUUUGUUUUUGUUGAGAAAAUAAAUCACUGGUGGGAUAGCAUAGCCAGCUGAAAUCUGAAUACUAUUAUGAAGUUAA
This is a non-coding RNA of Aegilops tauschii subsp. strangulata, 3573 nucleotides long. The record is from RefSeq and is a predicted model, not a curated record. NCBI's taxonomy places the organism in Eukaryota, Viridiplantae, Streptophyta, Magnoliopsida, Poales, Poaceae.